Molecule: long non-coding RNA, 447 nt
Organism: Saccostrea cuccullata (small rock oyster)
Lineage: Eukaryota; Metazoa; Mollusca; Bivalvia; Ostreida; Ostreidae
Exons: 3
Source: RefSeq, a predicted model, not a curated record
UACGAAGGUCAAUUAAUAUGUAAGGACACCAAUAAACAGACACUUUCCAAUUAUGGUAGAUCAUAUACAUGGGUGGUCAAACUCACUGGAUGGUUUAUCAACACUCCCAUGCUCACGAACAGCCUUGCCCCAGGAAUUUUGCCCUGAAGUAACAUUUGCAGUCUAUUGUCUCCUUUCUUUUUACAACCCUGGCAGCCAUGCAGGAUAGAAGCUGAUCACUUGUACUUGACAGCAAAUAGUAAUGCCUUGGACAAGUCAAAGAAUUUCCUCCAGUCUUACAGAGAAAUGACAGUUGAUAAAAGAAUGGUGGACACAAAGUAAAAGUGCUCUUCAAUAUUUUGUUGAAGAUUUCAGUCUGAUUUGGGAUUCAUCUUGCAAUAUUUCUGAAUUUAUAUAUUUGGAUAUAAGCGUCAAAUUUUCAACUUAUUGACUAAACAGUUUGGCGUU